CCUACGGGUGGCAGCAGUGGGGAAUAUUGCACAAUGGGCGCAAGCCUGAUGCAGCAACGCCGCGUGAGCGAAGAAGGUCUUCGGAUCGUAAAGCUCUGUCCUUGAGGAAGAAGGAAGUGACGGUACUCAAGGAGGAAGCCCCGGCUAACUACGUGCCAGCAGCCGCGGUAAUACGUAGGGGGCAAGCGUUAUCCGGAGUGACUGGGUGUAAAGAGUUGCGUAGGUGGCAUAAUAAGUAGCUAGUGAAAUCUGGUGGCUCAACCAUUCAGACUAUUAGCUAAACUGUUAAGCUCGAGACCGUUAGGGGUAACUGGAAUUUCUAGUGUAGGAGUGAAAUCCGUAGAUAUUAGAAGGAACACCAAUAGCGUAGGCAGGUUACUGGGACGGUUCUGACACUAAGGCACGAAAGCGUAGGGAGCAAACGGGAUUAGAUACCCCAGUAGUC
This 445-nucleotide ribosomal RNA is filed under the name uncultured bacterium. RNAcentral's name for it is "partial 16S ribosomal RNA". It matches the Rfam family "Bacterial small subunit ribosomal RNA", at positions 338 to 795 of the family's 1533-position model. The record is from RNAcentral.